GUCUCAAUCCCCUGUAGCUAAUCGGGUCUUCCUACCA
Non-coding RNA from Chlorobium phaeobacteroides BS1, 37 nucleotides. Lineage: Bacteria; Pseudomonadati; Chlorobiota; Chlorobiia; Chlorobiales; Chlorobiaceae. The record is from Rfam.